Molecule: unclassified non-coding RNA, 2390 nt
Filed under: Hevea brasiliensis (rubber tree)
Lineage: Eukaryota; Viridiplantae; Streptophyta; Magnoliopsida; Malpighiales; Euphorbiaceae
Source: RNAcentral
GAGAUGUGAGGCUGUGCAGCCCAUUGGCAGUUUCUCCAAAUUACAACACGACCAUAUUGACAAAACUUGAAGAUUGCAAGAAAAAUGGUCCUUCCUUUCCCUCCACUAAUGACACAAGUUGCUCACAACGCUCGAUUUCCAAAUGCUUUAAACAAGCAAGCUUGUCUAAAUGAGUUCCAUUCUUCCACAAGUGCUUCAGUUAAUCACACAAUUCAAUCCUCAAAUCUUCAACUGCUCUAUGUGAACUUCAUCUAAACUGAUACGGCCAAAAAUAUUCUCAAUUUUUAAGGAAGUAAGAGAGGUGAGAUUACCCACAUUUCGGAGAACUGCCUCUUGACAUUUUUUAAUAUAGAGUUUUCGAAGAGAUGAAAGACAGCCAGGCAAUGUCCCAACAAACUUUUGGGACAAUUACUUAUUGUAAGAUCAUGGAGACUAGGAAAUUUUAUUGCAGCUUCCCUAUUGAGAUCAUGAGACCAAGACCAUUGCUCCCACUCCAACAUAUCCUCAAUUCUUAGAGUCUCAAGAGAAGGAAAAGAUGAACCAUUCCCAUAAAACUCGACACCAAUUUCUUUCACUUCAUUCGUGCCAUUUAUCCUCAACUCUUUAAGUGAGGGUAAUCGUCCGAGUGGUGGAAGUGACGUGAUGUUGUGACAAUUGCAAAGAUUUAGCCAUACCAUAUUAGCAAAUGUGGGAUCUCCAAUCCAUGAUGAAAAUUCUAUUCCACCAAAUGAUUUAACUGAGAGCUUUAAAAGAUUGUCAAGAGGCUGCAAUGAGUCAAGAACCUGCACUUCAUGACUUGGAUUUCUGGAACAAAAGGAAGCAUUGGUCCAUGUCAAUUCUAGUACUUCUGGGCCUUGCUUCUCCUUUAAACUGGCAAAAUCUGCAUCUCGAAUAUCCACCACAUUCUGCAGCCCAGCGAUGUGAAGCUUCCCUUGUAGCUGAGAAAAUUUCUUCAACUCCGUUAACUUAAGUCCUUUACCUUCUCCCACAAUAAACUUUGUCAAUGUUAGGAGGCGUGUCAAGUUCCCAAUUUGUACCGGCAUCUCUUUCAAUUUAUCAGUACCACUAAUAUCAAAGCAUUGCAAAUUAACUAAAGUGCCAAUUUCAAAGGGCAACUCAAUAAGCUCUUUACACCCAUGUAAUCUUAAUAUCUGUAAGUUGAAAAGUUCACCUAUUGAUUUAGGUAAUCUUUCAAUUGCAGUGUAAGAUAAAUUGAGAUAUCGUAAAUGCUUCAAGCCACCAAUAGAACUUGGCAACUCCACAAACUCAUAACCAGCAAGUGAUAGUACCCUCAACCUUUUUAACUUUGGCACCAAGUCGUACAGCACCUUACCAGUUAAAUAACUACGCCCUUUUGCCAUGCUGGGCAAUGCUAAGAAUGUUCGCAAACCCAUCAUAUCAACACAGCCUUCAAAUUUUUGCCAAAUUUCAUACUGAUGGCGAAUGAAUGAUGAAUGUCGUGUCUUUGCACAUGAUUUUGCAUCCUCCAACUUGUUUCCCAAUUGAAAACAAAUUUCUUCGCUAACAUACCAAGCCAAAUCAGUCAUCAGGUCAUGCAUUACAUAUCGUGAUUUACCAUUACUAGACCAUUGAAAGAAUGAUCUAGAUGAUAAAUCAUGAAAGUAUUGACAUCCUAUGUCUUGCAUUUGCUUCAUCUUCUCUGGCUGAUACAAAAAACCAUCUACCAUCCACUAUAAAACCAACUCAUCUGUAUCAAACUUGUAAUCUUUUGGAAAAAUAGCACAAUAAGCAAAACAUUGUUUUAAAUGUGAGGGAAGAUGAAAAUAGCUCAGCCUCAAGGCUAGAAGAACAUUGCUUUUCUCAUCAGGCAGAUCCCAUGUCUUGCUGGUUAACACUUCCUCCCACGCAUUACGAUAUGGUUUACCUCUCAGGACGCCUCCAGUAGUUUUAGCAGCCAAAGGCAACCCCUGACAUUUUUUAACAAUUCCUUUACCUAUUUCUUCUAAAUCCAUGUGGUCAUCAAAAUUCGGUGCUCCGAGAGCAUGUUGUGCAAACACAGACAUACAAUCAUCAUAUGAUAACUCCUUUAGAGGAUAAGCCUGAACAGCACCCAUCCUUGAUGAUACGUGAUGACUGCGAGUUGUGACAAUAAUUGUGCUUCCUGGCGCCCCCGCUAUAACAGGAGAACAAAAACAAGUCCAAUCUUCAUAAUUUUCAGUCCAGACAUCGUCUAGGACAAUAAAAAAUUUCUUCAUGGACAGUUUCUCCUUCAAUUUUAGCUGAAGCAAAUUUAAGUCUUUCUCAUCAUGACCCUUCAGCAGGAGAAUUGUUUUGGUCAUUCCGAAAACAUCAAAAUCUUUACCAACGGAAACCCAAGCUUCAAAUCAAACUCCAAAGUAGUACCAUUGAAGAUGAGCUGAGCGAGAGUC